GCCAGUGUCUUUUCUCCAAAGGAAGACAGCACUUUGAAAAUUCUUUCAAUGGAUUUUUUUUUUCCUUGAAAGAUUGUACUGGGGGAAAACGAAAACGAUACUUCUAUUAGUUACAUAGUCUCCAAUCCCUCACUAGCACCCCCCAGGUUUUAAGAUCGCUCUCCUAGGCAGGCUCAGGCGGGCGCAAAACGGCGGUGACAAAGCCGCGGCUGCCACCUCCCGGAGUGGGAGUCCCUCUUGCCAGCCCACCCCUUGACUCGUGAGAGCGUAAAAGUUUAUCUCUGCUCAAGCGUUCCGAGCGCCCCCAGGUAAAGGUGGAAGUAAUGGCCAAGCUGUAUUGAAGAGAAUAUCCUCACUAACUCCUCGUGUAUAACUACAGAAUUCAUGCCUACAUGGAACAAUAGUAAUAUGCUGUGAUGCCAUGUUCCUGCCACUACUUCUCCUUAGAAGACAUUAGCCAAGUGGCUAUGGAUUUGCAUCGCGGGUUGCAGCAGAUGGGUGCAGACAAGAGGAACCUCAGACUUGAUCUAUGGUCAUUGUUAUCUUCUAGUAUGACACUCUACUUUCCCACUGAACUCUUCCUGCGCAAGCUGAGAAGCUUGGCUAUAAUUUGGUCUUUUAUUUUUAUAAUAGGCUGUUGUUGAGAAAGGAGCUUUGACAAUAGAAGUAACCAACUAGCAGGUCCAUUUCUACUGUGGAAAGCAGCUGGAAACUCAUCCCUAUGGAUGAAAAGAGAAGGGAGCACCAAUUGCUGCGAUGAAGUGUGUACCGCGGAUUCCGAAGGGAGCUGUGAAGGUUCUUCUCAGAGUCGUCAGUGUGUAAAGACUGUGCUCCCAAGGUCUCGCUACAGUCAUACUAGCAUCUUGGAUUCCGUGCACAGAACUUGGCAGUUUUGAACAACUAUUUGUGAUUGAAAAAUGACCAGCAAAUUUAAGGUCCCAAAGCUCAGUUUCGGUACCAAAAAAGCCGCUGUCUCGCCCGCUUGCCCCUCUCUUCCCGUGCUUCACACCUGGAUGUUGGACCCCCAUUACUGUUCUGUGAGUUUUUAUUAAAAUAAAGAAAAAACUUAGU
Microtus oregoni (creeping vole) is the source of this 1071-nucleotide long non-coding RNA. RefSeq lists it as uncharacterized. The record is from RefSeq and is a predicted model, not a curated record. The transcript has 5 exons. Lineage: Eukaryota; Metazoa; Chordata; Mammalia; Rodentia; Cricetidae.